UACUUCACACCCUGCACCCUGUUAUCCACUCCAUUGUGGGCCAGCUGUGGAACAAGGGGAUCCCGCAGAUGUUGAAGAUACUGGAAGACCACUCUGAGGAGAACCUGAGUCAGAAGGAAUGGGAGGACAGGCUGCUCCAGUUUUUAAGGCAGUCAUUAGUGGCCAUUGAUGAUGACAACCUGCUGGAGCAGCUCAUUAGA
Molecule: long non-coding RNA, 200 nt
Organism: Phyllostomus discolor (pale spear-nosed bat)
Lineage: Eukaryota; Metazoa; Chordata; Mammalia; Chiroptera; Phyllostomidae
Exons: 3
Source: RefSeq, a predicted model, not a curated record